UGAACAUUCAUUUCCUGGGCUGACACC
This 27-nucleotide non-coding RNA is filed under the name Homo sapiens (human). The record is from RNAcentral. Lineage: Eukaryota; Metazoa; Chordata; Mammalia; Primates; Hominidae.